UCUUAUUAUGUAUUUCAUGUACAGUAUAUUUGACCAAUAAAUCGGUGGUUAAGUUUCUACCUUAGUUCCGCUAUACUAAGACUACGUACAUUCUCCUUCUUUAC
Molecule: non-coding RNA, 104 nt
Filed under: Acholeplasma oculi
Lineage: Bacteria; Bacillati; Mycoplasmatota; Mollicutes; Acholeplasmatales; Acholeplasmataceae
Description: Guanine sequence
Rfam family: Purine riboswitch aptamer
About the family: Riboswitches are metabolite binding domains within certain messenger RNAs that serve as precision sensors for their corresponding targets. Allosteric rearrangement of mRNA structure is mediated by ligand binding, and this results in modulation of gene expression.
Source: RNAcentral